GGGGGCACGGGGGGAGGAAAGCAGGGGAUCGCAAGACCUUGCGCCGAUGGAUGAGCCGAAGUCGGAUUAGCUAGUUGGUAGGGUAACGGCCUACCAAGGCGACGAUCCGUAGCUGGUCUGAGAGGACGACCAGCCACACUGGGACUGAGACACGGCCCAGACUCCUACGGGAGGCAGCAGUGGGGAAUAUUGGACAAUGGGCGCAAGCCUGAUCCAGCCAUGCCGCGUGAGUGAAGAAGGCCUUCGGGUUGUAAAGCUCUUUAGUCCGGGAUGAAAACAUUACUUGUGAAAAAUGAGGAUGGCUGACAGUACUCGAAGAAUAAGCACCGGCUAACUACGUGCCAGCAGCCGCGGUAAUACGUAGGGUGCGAGCGUUAAUCGGAAUAACUGGGCGUAAAGGGUGCGUAGGCGGAAUCGCAAGUCAGAU
Molecule: ribosomal RNA, 427 nt
Filed under: uncultured ammonia-oxidizing bacterium
Lineage: Bacteria
Description: bacterial SSU rRNA
Rfam family: Bacterial small subunit ribosomal RNA
Source: RNAcentral